Non-coding RNA from Leptonychotes weddellii (Weddell seal), 375 nucleotides. NCBI's taxonomy places the organism in Eukaryota, Metazoa, Chordata, Mammalia, Carnivora, Phocidae. The record is from RefSeq and is a predicted model, not a curated record.
CAUCUCACAGGUGCUUGUUCAGAACGACAUCCCCGGUCCUCAUACUUGAAGUAUUUCCUACCCCAACUUAAGUUUAAUUUGCAGGGCCUGUGCUACAAACCUGAGAGAGUAGAGAGAAGGUCACAUGAGACAUAUAGCAAGAAAGUGGUCAUCUAAAAGCCAGGAAGAAAGCUCUCACCAGAAACCAAAGUUGCUAGCACCUUGAUCAUGGACUUCUAGCCUCCAGAACUCUUCCAUCUCCGCCGGAGAUCCCAACAAGACAACAUGCCUCCCAAGAAGCCUGAGCCUAAGAAGGAAGCGGCCAAGGCUGCCCCAGGCCCUGCCCCGGCCUCAGCUCCUGAGCCCCCCAAGGAACCUGCCUUUGACCCCAAGAGC